GUCCCCGUAGCUCAGCGGAUAGAGCGAUCGCCUCCUAAGCGAUAGGUCACAGGUUCAAGUCCUGUCGGGGACGCCA
RNAcentral lists this transfer RNA (76 nucleotides) under Amaricoccus sp. Its description in RNAcentral is "tRNA-Arg". It matches the Rfam family "tRNA". From Rfam's summary of the family: Transfer RNA (tRNA) molecules are approximately 80 nucleotides in length. Their secondary structure includes four short double-helical elements and three loops (D, anti-codon, and T loops). Further hydrogen bonds mediate the characteristic L-shaped molecular structure. tRNAs have two regions of fundamental functional importance: the anti-codon, which is responsible for specific mRNA codon recognition, and the 3' end, to which the tRNAs corresponding amino acid is attached (by aminoacyl-tRNA synthetases). tRNAs cope with the degeneracy of the genetic code in two manners: having more than one tRNA (with a specific anti-codon) for a particular amino acid; and 'wobble' base-pairing, i.e. permitting non-standard base-pairing at the 3rd anti-codon position. The record is from RNAcentral. Lineage: Bacteria; Pseudomonadati; Pseudomonadota; Alphaproteobacteria; Rhodobacterales; Paracoccaceae.